GUAGUGAGUGUUUCAUCACUUUCAUAGUUUCAGACUUUCAGGUAGAGAAAGAGAGAGAAAGUUUGGGUACUGAAAAUCUGAAGCUUUGAGUUUCUAAGCUGUCAACCCAUUCUCCUUCUCGACUUCAUAAGUAUAUUGCUUAAGUUUCUUUGAUCCAGGUACAAAUUCAUAGAGUUCAGUUAGAGGAGUCACAAAGAAAGUGUCCAAAUGGAUCCUCGAUGUGUGAAGUGCGGUCGUAGGAUUGAAAAGCUCUACGUUCAAUAUUCGCCAGGAAAUAUCCGGCUUUUAAAGUGCGGCAACUGCAAGUCAGUUGCCGAUGAGUACAUAGAAUGCGAGCUCUUGAUUCUCGUCAUUGAUUUGGUCCUUCACAAGCCUCAAGCUUACAGGCACUUGCUCUUCAACGUGCUCCAUCACAAUAAUUCAGAUUUUGACACCUUAUUGUUCAAAGCAUCCUUCUUUUACCUCUUUCUUGAUGCUUACAAGUUAUGGAUUUUGAAUGAGACCUCAAAAGAGUUGUCGGUUUUGAGAUUGGGAUUGAAAACUUUGGGAUGUUCCCUUAUAGGGAAUCUGGUGUUCUUUUGUGUUCUUUUUGUGUUUUCAAGGAGAAUUUUUACUUUUAUAGAGGGUUUUUCCGGGUACAAAGAUGUGUUGCUCACCGUGGUUGUUUCAAGUUACUUGAAGAUUUAUACGCUGUCCAUGUUGGUCUGGGAAUUCCCUGCUUCAAUGGUUUAUAUCAUUGAUUUGUUUGUUAUGUCAUCUAAUCUGGUAGCUCUACGGGUGAUAUCUGAAUCCUCUUUUACUAAAUGUGUCGGGUUGUGCCUCGGUGCUCAUGCCAUGAAGUUCUUUGUAAACUGGAUGCUAAAAUAGUGAUGAUGUUGCUGUUGAAUUUUGGGUCAUUAAACACUCAUUCAUUUACAGGAUUCCAUACUUUUAUACUCGGUUAUCGAGAUAUAGUGAAUUGGGUGCUUUAAGAUCUAUUCGCGGUUAUUGAACAUGUUUAGAGAGAACACUCGUUUUUUAUUUUGACUGAAUGAAUUAUCUGGUUUCCUUGAUCUAGAAUAAAAUGUGUUUAUUAUGUUGCACUUUGAGCACAAUUUUUUUAGUAGCAGGUUGGUAACAUCUAACAUGGAUUCUCAGAAGAAUCCAGCUGAAACUAAAUCAUCUGCUACUGCACCAACUCCAGCAAUUGCUUCAUGUCGGAGGAAGAAGAAAGAUGACGCGACUUUCCUAGAGGAUUUAAAGGGCCAUAUUGAUGAGUUUAUCGAUGCUUCCAUGGAUGAACAUAAGUCAUGCUUCACAAAAACCAUUCAAAAGGGCAGAUGUUUUCAAUAUCGAAGAUAGUGGCACAACGGAAUUCUGAGCAGCGGGAAGUAGAGAGUGUUCUACCACUUCAGACUACAGUCUCAAAGUAGACCAUCUGAAAAUACCCCUCUUUUUUUACCCCUGUUUAUGUUAAUAACGUAUAUUUAUGAUAUUCUAUCAUCUAGGAUAACUACGUCAUCUUCAACAAUAUACUUGUGACUUAUAUUGUUCUUUCAGUAUGUAAUCUGGAAUCAAAUACUGAUAUUCACUUACAGCAAUGUUUACUUCUUUGCAAAUA
RNA transcript from Spinacia oleracea (spinach), 1600 nucleotides. RefSeq lists it as uncharacterized. The transcript has 3 exons. The record is from RefSeq and is a predicted model, not a curated record. NCBI's taxonomy places the organism in Eukaryota, Viridiplantae, Streptophyta, Magnoliopsida, Caryophyllales, Amaranthaceae.